This 76-nucleotide transfer RNA is filed under the name Erysipelotrichaceae bacterium. RNAcentral's name for it is "tRNA-Arg". It matches the Rfam family "tRNA". From Rfam's summary of the family: Transfer RNA (tRNA) molecules are approximately 80 nucleotides in length. Their secondary structure includes four short double-helical elements and three loops (D, anti-codon, and T loops). Lineage: Bacteria; Bacillati; Bacillota; Erysipelotrichia; Erysipelotrichales; Erysipelotrichaceae. The record is from RNAcentral.
ACCGCCAUCGUCUAAGCGGAGAGGACAUACGCCUUCUAAGCGUACAAUCAGGGUUCGAAUCCUUGUGGCGGUGCCA